Molecule: transfer RNA, 78 nt
Filed under: Neisseria flavescens SK114
Lineage: Bacteria; Pseudomonadati; Pseudomonadota; Betaproteobacteria; Neisseriales; Neisseriaceae
Description: tRNA-Glu
Rfam family: tRNA
About the family: Transfer RNA (tRNA) molecules are approximately 80 nucleotides in length. Their secondary structure includes four short double-helical elements and three loops (D, anti-codon, and T loops). Further hydrogen bonds mediate the characteristic L-shaped molecular structure. tRNAs have two regions of fundamental functional importance: the anti-codon, which is responsible for specific mRNA codon recognition, and the 3' end, to which the tRNAs corresponding amino acid is attached (by aminoacyl-tRNA synthetases). tRNAs cope with the degeneracy of the genetic code in two manners: having more than one tRNA (with a specific anti-codon) for a particular amino acid; and 'wobble' base-pairing, i.e. permitting non-standard base-pairing at the 3rd anti-codon position.
Source: RNAcentral
CGCGCCCAUCGUCUAGAGGCCUAGGACACUGCCCUUUCACGGCGGCAACCGGGGUUCGAAUCCCCGUGGGCGUGCCAA